Long non-coding RNA from Brassica oleracea var. oleracea, 1550 nucleotides. RefSeq lists it as uncharacterized. The transcript is spliced from 5 exons. NCBI's taxonomy places the organism in Eukaryota, Viridiplantae, Streptophyta, Magnoliopsida, Brassicales, Brassicaceae. The record is from RefSeq and is a predicted model, not a curated record.
UUCCUUGUUCUGCGACCGUGGCAGGAAUGAGAAGGAGAUUGAGUCAAACACAGAAGAGAUUUGAUGGAUAUCGCUGAUGAUUCCAUAAAUUUCCUUUUUCCUGCAUCCUGUUGUUGAUAGCUCUGAUGAGCGUUGAAGAGUCGAAGUAGACUUUGAGAUUGGGGAUCUUAAGAUUCACUGCCAUAUGGCUGAUCUGAUUACUAAGGCUUCAGCCAUCAAAGGGGAGGGGACGAAGUGCUGGAUCUCUGAUCCGUGGCUUGAUUUCGCACCGUUGCUUCCUCGGAAGAUUCAAGCUAGUCUGGCCAUCUUGGAAGUCGCAUCCCAAUAGGCGUCUGAAUUGCAUUUGAUCGUGUUGGUCUGAUCUUGGUCUCUGUGGGUUGUCCUCCUGUCCAAAAGCGGUUCUGGAAUAGGUGCUGUCUUUGUCGGUGUCGAACCCUUGUCUUCAAAGAGAAAUAUGUUCCUUGCUGUCCAUAUAGUCCGAAGAGUCCAGGGGAGGAUAAAAUUUGCCAUGCCAGUCGGUGGGAGGCAGACAGCAUAUCUGAACUUGACUAUCAUUGAUGUCAUUGUAUCAUCCAUCACUAUGGGAACUGCUUGUCGUAAAGUUUGCAGGUUCUCGCCCGUUGGGAGUGCUCUCUGGAUGAUGGACCAAAGGAAGACCUGAGGCUUAGGAGAUAACUUUCCGGACCAUAUGUCUUUUACCCAAUGGAAGUAUUGGCUCUCUGGUUGAUGAUUAUGGUGAUGUUUGAGUGCUGAGGCUAUAGCAUAUCCUGAUUUGAUGGAGUAGACUCUGAUUAUAGAGGUUGCCAAACGUAAAUGUCUUAUGCUCCCUUGGUGCUUGGCCUUAUGGUUUGGAUUUGUGCAGCCAAAGCAGGGGCCAAUUGGUUUCAGGUUCUUUUCCAGCGAGAUCCAGGAGUCCUGCCAUACCUUGGUUGUCAGCCCAUUACCGAUAGCCUUUCUCAUGCUAGAUUUCAAGAGCUCAAGGCCACGGAGUAUGCUGCGCCACCCAUGAGAGCACACUGCAGGAAUCUCGUUGUCCAGCUCGCUGCUCUCUGUCCGAUCCUGUCAACCACUGACGUGAAGAUAUCUUUUUUUCUUCUACCAAAGUGCUCAUGUAGGCUUAGAUAUUUACCUAAGCCUCCCUCUUUUCUGAUAUUCAGGAUUGACUUUGCAGUUUUUUUUCAUUUCUGCGGACGUUUUUUAUGAGAAUGUAAUGGCUGAUUUGUCUCGGUUUAUUUUCUGACCGGAUGCUCUCUCAUACUCCGAAAGUAUCUUGACUAGGUUGUUGCAGCAGUCAGGAGUAGAGUUGCAGAAGAACAUUGUGUCAUCUGUAAAAAGCAGAUGGUUCACAAGAGGGAAUUUUCUUACAACCCGGACUCCUUGAAACUCACCUGAGAGAGCUGCAUUUCUGCAAAGCCCUGGCAGUACUUCCCCACGUAGGAUGAAGAUGUCUUUGUCUCUUUCUCAUUAACGUUUUAAACUGAUUUUGAUCAGUUUUCUAUUUGGAUCGGACUGUUUUUUUUUAAAAUACCAAAUUGUCAAUGACCAAUCCA